Molecule: ribosomal RNA, 253 nt
Filed under: uncultured bacterium
Lineage: Bacteria
Description: partial 16S ribosomal RNA
Rfam family: Bacterial small subunit ribosomal RNA
Source: RNAcentral
UACGUAGGGGGCAAGCGUUGUCCGGAAUCAUUGGGCGUAAAGCGCGUGUAGGCGGCUCGAUAAGUCUGCUGUGAAAGUCCAAGGCUCAACCUUGGGAUGCCGGUGGAUACUGUCGAGCUCGAGUCCGGAAGAGGAGUGUGGAAUUCCUGGUGUAGCGGUGAAAUGCGCAGAUAUCAGGAAGAACACCCGUGGCGAAGGCGGUCUCUGGGACGGUACUGACGCUGGAGACGCGAAAGCGUGGGGAGCGAACAGG